CCCGCUCAGAAACUCAAAGGAAUUGACGGGGGCCCGCACAAGCGGUGGAGCAUGUGGUUUAAUUCGAAGCAACGCGAAGAACCUUACCAGGCCUUGACAUGCAGAGAACUUUCCAGAGAUGGAUUGGUGCCUUCGGGAACUCUGACACAGGUGCUGCAUGGCUGUCGUCAGCUCGUGCCGUGAGAUGUUGGGUUAAGUCCCGUAACGAGCGCAACCCUUGUCCUUAGUUACCAGCACGUUAUGGUGGGCACUCUAAGGAGACUGCCGGUGACAAACCGGAGGAAGGUGGGGAUGACGUCAAGUCAGCAUGGCCCUUACGUCCAGGGCUACACACGUGCUACAAUGGCCGAUACAGAGGGCAGCUACCUGGUGACAGGAUGCAAAUCUCCAAAGUCGGUCUCAGUUCGGAUCGGAGUCUGCAACCCGACUCCGUGAAGUUGGAUUCGCUAGUAAUCGCGCAUCAGCCAUGGCGCGGUGAAUACGUUCCCGGGCCUU
Molecule: ribosomal RNA, 495 nt
Filed under: uncultured Pseudomonas sp.
Lineage: Bacteria; Pseudomonadati; Pseudomonadota; Gammaproteobacteria; Pseudomonadales; Pseudomonadaceae
Description: bacterial SSU rRNA
Rfam family: Bacterial small subunit ribosomal RNA
Source: RNAcentral